ACCGAGCUGGUGUGUUCUUCGGGAGAAGUCGUGUGGAAUAUCACGCUCCUGAUGGAAAUUUCCCUGCUUCCAUUUGAACAAGGAGCACAAGCCUGCAACAACCAUAAUAAAAGGUGGAUCAAGUCAGGAUACCUGGACUGAUGACCUUUUGAGAAGAAUAAAUCUUAAUUGGUGACUUUUGCAGUUGCAUGACAGUUCUUGGCAAAGUUGCCAAACCUUCAAAAUUAUUACUAUAUGUUUAUCACAUAUGGUACAGUAGGAUACGAACAAAUUAUGUGUGAAUCUUUUUUAGUUAGGUUGGCUACAAUCUGAACGAAGACAACAAUCGAAGUUUGCUAGGUGUAGGUGGUGCAGAGAAUCUUUCUGUUAUAUGGGAGUAUGGAACUGACUCCUGUACCUUCUCAAUCAUCUGAAUUUCUUUAUCGUCCGAAUUUUCCUACCAUCAUCAGCCCAUCAGUCUUCAUCACCUCUCUUGACAUUUUGUGCCUGAAAUAUCUUCCCUCAUCUGAUGUCUACCUAACAAGGUUCCUGUACAAAUUCACACCAUGAUCACGUUUUCGUACUUAAUUAUCCUCACCGUUUCGUCAGCUUCCAGGGUCGGUAGCCAUGUAUUUCAAACGAAAACGUGUGUCCAGUUCUCGACUUUUCGGCUUGACGAAGAAGACCGUCGCCCAAAAUCUGCACAUUUUCACACUUGGGCCAUUUUCAUUUUACAUGCCGGUUUUUACCGUGAUCAGAAACUUUUCAGAAUUCAUACUUAACAGUAACAGAUUAGGCGAAUUUCGGAAGAGUUUUGGCGUACCUUGCGUGCGAAUUGGAUCGGAAAUCAUGUGGAUGAUAUGCUGGUCUCCAAGGCCUGUGGCUGAUCGUUUCAGUUGGGCUAUGAGCUGGACCUGUGAUUCUCAUGACCGUGAGGUUGAUGUGCUGAAGCAGCUCGAUCUGGCAACCGGAGAUACGGUAUCAGGAUGGUUCUCGGCGCCGGAUUUGUGGUUGCCUUGAGCUCAGGUCGGGGUCGCUAACAUGGAUGUCUCGGCAACCAAUCAAAUCAAAUUCAUCUGUAGAAAAAUGAGAGGAAAACCACACAUAUCAAUGGCGUGAGUAGCGACUUCAGUUGAGUCGAAAGAUCAAACUGGGACAUUUCAGUGGUUACCGCUGGCCAACAUGCUUGGAACGCAGAAAUUUUUAUUUACUCAUGUGAGAAUUGAAAUGUCUUAAACCCUGUAAAAUUAUGCAUUGAAAAUGGGCCUUGAAUGGAUCAGAAACAUAGUAAACAAACCCAACGGAAAAUAAAGAUAACGUCUGUGCGGAUACAAAAGGGUUAAAAAAUUGAAAAGAAAAAAAAAAGAAAAGCUGAUACUGCAAUCAGGCAAAACUGAACGCAGAUGCUGUCUAUACGUUCAUGGAUGCGUGAAUAAAAACACGUCAGUUAAAACUCUAAUCGGAUUGAGAUCCGGUGCAGUUAUAAACUCUAACCAGCAUCAUAGGACUGUUAUGUAUUUUCAGCCGUUUAUUUUAAUGAUCAACAGUUCAGAUUCACUGCUAUAGUACUCGAACAACAGUAAAAUAAGCAAUGUUUUAUAUUACAACACUUUUGCCACAGUAUCAAAUUAAUCUGUACCGUUUAAGUUUGAUCCAACUUAGCAGCUACAACUGCUAAAGUUGCAGUCAAUAAUAUAAUUGCAGCUGAUUCGGAUCAAACUCCAAUCAGUCAGUGUGUGCUUCACAUUCUGUACCAACAAGUAACAUUAACUAUGAUCUGACGGGACGCUUUGGAAGACGAUUAAAAAGAUUAGGCAGAAUACUGUCAAUUACCUGGGUAACAUCAGAUGCGUGUUUACUCUUUACCUUCAUACGCAAAAGCUGUGGUACUCCCUGCCGAAGUCUUCAUCAAGUCAUAAUGCCACGGCUGAUCUUGAUUGUACGAUUUAGAAAGAGUCGUGAUGCUAGCCAACCAAAACUGCAGCAACAGACUUGUAUUUUUCAGUUGUUCACGUCAGAGAGUACACAUGAAAAAAAUCGUAUCCCAGUCGAACUAAGCAAGCCAGUCAUUACGAGUAUGAGCUUCCAGGUCAAAGAUGUACGAACAAGGCUUCUUUUUUCCAUCAAACACGAAAAUAAAACUCGAAAAGUUUCACUAAGUUUCCAUAAAAUAAAUUCUAGAGUGAAAAUCAGAGAAAGAAAGGAAUGACGGUCGAAUAGCAUUGCUUCUAGUAAGUAGUCACCGACCCAGUUUCUUGUUGAAAUAUACAAGUACAAAAUGUAAGAUUUGCAAACACCAGCAUCGAGAUUAUCAAAUAUGUCAACGGGAAGAACGACCGUGCGUGCAAAAUUCAUCAGGUUGCUGAUGUCGGUGAAGAAGUUGAACCUGCACGGUUGCAUGAGUGCGCUGCAUGACUACAAUUGGCUGCUAAUAACUAGUGCUCUACAUGACUACCUUCCAACAAUUUGUUUAAGUCUAUACUAACAAACCAAAGGCCCACUGAUUCCUGACCCAGUUUGUGCAGUAAGUAGUCAGCUGAUCAAACGGCACCUUGGUUUGCAGAAAUUACCUGGGUUAAUACACUCCUAUCAUUUUAGCAAAAGGAGGCAUGAGAAGCUAUAUGAUUGACUGCUUCAUGUAGCACAGAACUACAUUGAAAGGUGGCAGUGGAUAUCAAGUAUCAACAGCCGUCAGCAGAUUGUUUCUCCUGUGCAAAUUAUAUUAGCAUAAUGGGACUUGAGCACCACUAACUCUCCACUCAUCCAAUUGUCCAAUUGUUUAACCUGAUACACGAGCACCUGCCAUUGUACGAUGUUGCCUCCCAAAACAAGCUCCAUACUCCUAGCCUCUCAUCUGAGGCUCUGAAACCUUUCGUCUCAAACAAAAGAUCACAUAAUCUGUCCCCAUCUCCCAUCCAAGAAGAACUCACAUACCAACC
This 2918-nucleotide long non-coding RNA is filed under the name Oryza sativa (Asian cultivated rice). RNAcentral describes it as "long non-coding RNA (OSAT_LNC000310)". Lineage: Eukaryota; Viridiplantae; Streptophyta; Magnoliopsida; Poales; Poaceae. The record is from RNAcentral.